CCUACGGGAGGCAGCAGUGGGGAAUUUUGGACAAUGGGGGCAACCCUGAUCCAGCCAUGCCGCGUGAGUGAAGAAGGCCUUCGGGUUGUAAACCUCUUUAUACCGGGAAGAAAUCAUCUGGGUUAAUACCCUGUGUGGAUGACGGUACCGGAAGAAUAAGCCCCG
This 165-nucleotide ribosomal RNA is filed under the name uncultured bacterium. RNAcentral describes it as "partial 16S ribosomal RNA". It matches the Rfam family "Bacterial small subunit ribosomal RNA", at positions 338 to 495 of the family's 1533-position model. The record is from RNAcentral.